GCAUAUUGCCACAACCCACUACACUUGUGGCAUUAACUUAUGGCAACAAAUAUUCCAGUUGUCGUAACAGGAAAUAGCAACAUACUUGUUUUGGUGGCGAUAAAUAGGUAUCACAACAGGUGAAAUGUUUGUAGCGAGAAACUAUUGCGACAAUUUAAAAUUUGUUUUCGCGGCAUUAGGCAUAUUGCCACAACCCACUACACUUGUGGCAUUAACUUAUGGCAACAAAUAUUCCAGUUGUCGUAACAGGAAAUUGCAACAUGCUUGUUUUGGUGGUGAUAAAUAGGUAUCACAACAGGUGAUGGGUGGCUGCUGUAGCACGAGCUUGCUCUUCAAUCUGGAUACGAAACCUUUGAGAACUAGUUGAAGGUUUGGCCAUGUAUCCGUACCCACGAGGCUUCAAUGACUUGCAUUUCAGAGUGUCUUUGUAUGCGGUCUAGAAAAUAUUGUUUUUCUGCUCACUUGAAAGUGGACCUUCAGUUUCAGUUUCUUUGUUUUGAACCUCUUGACGUGCUUUGUACUAAAAAUGAAAAUAACAAUUAUAGGUACGACAUCAAUAUUGAC
This 564-nucleotide long non-coding RNA is filed under the name Triticum aestivum (bread wheat). RNAcentral's name for it is "long non-coding RNA (TAES_LNC005640)". The record is from RNAcentral. Lineage: Eukaryota; Viridiplantae; Streptophyta; Magnoliopsida; Poales; Poaceae.